Molecule: ribosomal RNA, 253 nt
Filed under: uncultured bacterium
Lineage: Bacteria
Description: partial 16S ribosomal RNA
Rfam family: Bacterial small subunit ribosomal RNA
Source: RNAcentral
UACGAAGGGUGCAAACGUUGCUCGGAAUUAUUGGGCGUAAAGCGCACGUAGGCGGCAUUGCAAGUCGGAUGUGAAAUCCCUCGGCUUAACCAAGGAAGUGCAUCCGAAACUGCAGUGCUUGAGUACUUAAGAGGAUCGCGGAAUUCCCGGUGUAAAGGUGAAAUUCGUAGAUAUCGGGAGGAACACCAGUGGCGAAGGCGGCGACCUGGGAAGAUACUGACGCUGAGGUGCGAAAGCGUGGGGAGCAAACAGG